Molecule: ribosomal RNA, 629 nt
Filed under: uncultured bacterium
Lineage: Bacteria
Description: bacterial SSU rRNA
Rfam family: Bacterial small subunit ribosomal RNA
Source: RNAcentral
GGGCGUAAGAGCUUGUAGGUGGCUUGAUAAGUUGGACGUGAAAACUCCGGGCUUAACUUGGAGAGGCCGUUCAAUACUGUCGGGCUGGAGGGUGUCAGAGGGAAGUAGAAUUCCUGGUGUAGCAGUGAAAUGCGUAGAUAUCAGGAGGAAUACCCGUGGCGCAGGCGGCUUCCUGGGGCACACCUGACACUGAGAAGCGACAGCUAGGGGAGCAAACGGGAUUAGAAACCCCGGUAGUCCUAGCCGUAAACGAUGGAUGCUAGGUGUGAGCAGAUCUAACCCUGCUCGUGCCGAAGCUAACGCGUUAAGCAUCCCGCCUGGGAACUACGAGCGCAAGCUUAAAACUCAAAGGAAUUGACGGGGACCCGCACAAGCAGCGGAGCGUGUGGUUUAAUUCGAUGCUACACGAAGAACCUCACCCAGGUUUGACAUGGCGGUGGUAGGGAAGCGAAAGCGGACCGACCCGCAAGGGAGCCGUCACAGGUGUUGCAUGGCUGUCGUCAGCUCGUGUCGUGAGAUGUUGGUUUAAGUACCCUAACGAGCGCAACCCUCGUUGCCAGUUACACGUGUCUGGCGAGACUGCCGGCCGCAAGCCGGAGGAAGGCGGGGAUGAUGUCAAGUCAGCAUGG